CACGCCGUAAACGAUGGAUACUAAGCAUUGGUAGUAUCGACCCUAUCAGUGCUGUUAAUUUAAGGAAACCCGUUAAGUAUCCCGCCUGGGGAGUACGAGCGCAAGCUUAAAACUCAAAGGAAUAGACGGGGACCCGCACAAGCGGUGGAGCAUGUGGUUUAAUUCGACUCUAAGCGAGGAACCUCACCAAGGCUUGACAUCUAGCUGCAAGGUCUGGAAACAGAUCCGCCUUCGAGGGUGCUAGACAGAUGC
This 252-nucleotide ribosomal RNA is filed under the name uncultured Parcubacteria group bacterium. RNAcentral's name for it is "partial 16S ribosomal RNA". It matches the Rfam family "Bacterial small subunit ribosomal RNA", at positions 796 to 1041 of the family's 1533-position model. The record is from RNAcentral.